CAGGCACACGCCACCAUGCCCAGCUAAUUUUUUGCACUUUUAAAGUAGAGAUGGGGUUUCACCAUGUUGGCCAGGAUGGUCUCGAUCCCUUGACCUCGUGAUCAACCCACCUCGGCCUCCCAAAGUGCUGGGAUUACAGGCGUGAGCCACC
Molecule: non-coding RNA, 151 nt
Organism: Saimiri boliviensis boliviensis (Bolivian squirrel monkey)
Lineage: Eukaryota; Metazoa; Chordata; Mammalia; Primates; Cebidae
Source: RefSeq, a predicted model, not a curated record